Homo sapiens (human) is the source of this 1390-nucleotide long non-coding RNA. RefSeq lists it as uncharacterized. The transcript is spliced from 3 exons. The record is from RefSeq and is a predicted model, not a curated record. Lineage: Eukaryota; Metazoa; Chordata; Mammalia; Primates; Hominidae.
CCAGUAUUUAUAAGUUAGUUAAUCAUAUUUUUGAGUUUUUAGUCAUAUUAUCUUUAAAAUGAAUAAGAGGUUCAAAUUAGAUAAUCUCUAAGAUUUCUUCCAGCAAUAAAAUUCUGCAAUUCUGUAAGUUUGUAUAGGGUCUCAGCCCAUCUCUAGCAUUAGCUACAUCCUAUGCAUUUUCAGUUUUUAAAUUGUAUAGACAAAAUACAGACAGAAAAAAUUUCACAUGGUAAGAAGAUCUGAGCAGUGACUGACACCCAUAUGAACCUUGUUUUAUAAGGGUUUACAUACCAUCUUCUUCUAUUCAGUCUACAGCCAGUAGAUCAAAUCUAACCUAAGGUCUAUUUUUUAAUAGCCUAUUAAGAAUGGUUUUUGCAUUUCUAAAGGACUGUGAAAGAAAAAAGAAAGAGAAAUAUGCGAGAGAGAUCAUAUGUGGCCCACAGAGCCUUAAAAUAUUUACUGUCUGACCUUCACAAAAAACGAUUUGAAAAAGUUGGUUUAGUAGGAUGAAAGGAAUUAAAGUUAACUUCAGAUUGUUGCCUAAAGGAGAAGAAAAUAUAGACCACCUACAUUCAUUUGAACAUCAUUAAUCCAGAAUUUUUUGGUAAUUUAAUCGCAUUAAAUUAACAUUUAAAUAUUUGAAAUCAGCUGAAUUAUAGAAAUAAUAUUAUCAAGAAUAUUAAGCUACCAAGAGAAUAGACUAGUAUUAAGGAUUUCAUUUCAGGAAUUGUUAUAUUAAAACAGAUGUUUAAAAUGAUGGUUAAGUGGUAGAGCUAGAAAUGUUUACAGUAAGAAGCAUAUCAGAAAUGCCCCUAACUCUUCACUAAUUACACAGUAACUAUCUCCCCAGCCCUGUUACCAAGAAAGGGAUACCUGCAUAGUAUUUCUGUCUGUUUAGAGACAAGAAGAUACUAUGUUCAAUUGCUAUGAAAGCUUGAUUCUUAUCCUCUGUCCGCAGAGGUGUGUAUGUCAUUAAUCCUUAUUAGUGAUGCUCUUUUGCAGACAGAUUCUUUCAAAUGUGAAAGGCUUAAGGAAAGUGGGUGUAAAGACCCUCAAGUGGAUGCCAAAGUGCUACAGAGGCCAUGAAAGAUUUAUCCUGCAAUAAAAUACGAUAUAUUGAAAGACAUACAUUUGAAUCACUACCAUUUUUGCAGUAUAUAAAUCUGGGCUGCAAUUUAAUUACAGAACUGAGCCUUGGAACAUUUCAGGCCUGGCACGGAAUGCAGUUUUUACACAACUUGUAAGUGAAAUAGAAGAUGAAUACGUGUAAACAACUAUUUUGUAUAAAAACUCAUACAAUUAUUGGUUAGCUGGGUAUAAGCCCAUUAUGAACUCUGAAAAGUGUGUCUUAAGAUCCAUUCGUUUUUCUCAAAUGGGGAAACUAAGGUAC